This 445-nucleotide ribosomal RNA is filed under the name uncultured bacterium. RNAcentral describes it as "partial 16S ribosomal RNA". It matches the Rfam family "Bacterial small subunit ribosomal RNA", at positions 354 to 796 of the family's 1533-position model. The record is from RNAcentral.
GUGAGGAAUAUUGGUCAAUGGGCGAGAGCCUGAACCAGCCAUGCCGCGUGCAGGAAGAAUGCCCUAUGGGUUGUAAACUGCUUUUAUUUGGGAAUAAACCUUUCUACGUGUAGAAAGCUGAAGGUACUAAAUGAAUAAGCACCGGCUAACUCCGUGCCAGCAGCCGCGGUAAUACGGAGGGUGCAAGCGUUAUCCGGAAUCAUUGGGUUUAAAGGGUCCGCAGGCGGAUUAAUAAGUCAGUGGUGAAAUCUCAUAGCUUAACUAUGAAACUGCCAUUGAUACUGUUAGUCUUGAAUAUGGUCGAUGUGGGCGGAAUAUGACAUGUAGCGGUGAAAUGCUUAGAUAUGUUAUAGAACACCGAUAGCGAAGGCAGCUCACAAGGCCAUUAUUGACGCUCAUGGACGAAAGCGUGGGGAGCAAACAGGAUUAGAAACCCGGGUAGUCC